This 499-nucleotide ribosomal RNA is filed under the name Ischnocnema cf. spanios CC-2012. RNAcentral's name for it is "partial 12S ribosomal RNA". It matches the Rfam family "Bacterial small subunit ribosomal RNA", at positions 237 to 825 of the family's 1533-position model. The record is from RNAcentral. Lineage: Eukaryota; Metazoa; Chordata; Amphibia; Anura; Brachycephalidae.
GGCCCCAAAAUGCCCCCCAAACACAAAAGCUUGGUCCCGACUUUUUAGUCAAUUUUUUCUCAACUUAUACAUGCCAGCCUCCCCAUCCCCGUGAGUAACUAUUUUUCCCCGCUAGGGGAACAAAUAGAAAUGGUAUCAGGCACAACAUUUUGCCCAAGACGCCUAGCAAAAGUCACACCCAUAAGGGCCCCAGCAGUAAUUAACAUUGAAUAUGAGUGCCAACUUGAUUCAGUCAGGGAAAGACAGGGCCGGCCAAGCUGGUGCCAGCCGCCGCGGUUACACCAGAGGCCCGAGUUGACUUCCCCUCGGCGUAAAGCGUGGCUGAAAAUCUUCCUUAAAUUGGAGUCAAAUUAAAAUUGAGCAGUAGAAUGCCUAUUCUUAAGAAGCCCCUAAACGAAAGUUACUCCAACUUUAUAACUUGAAUCCACGAUAGCUAGAAUACAAACUAGGAUUAGAUACCCUACUAUGUCUAGCCCUAAACUUUAAAUUACACUUUAAC